RNAcentral lists this non-coding RNA (45 nucleotides) under Schistosoma mansoni. The record is from RNAcentral. Lineage: Eukaryota; Metazoa; Platyhelminthes; Trematoda; Strigeidida; Schistosomatidae.
AUCCAGCUGACGAGUUCCAAAUAGAACGGAACGCGCGUCCUGGAU